This 495-nucleotide ribosomal RNA is filed under the name uncultured bacterium. RNAcentral describes it as "bacterial SSU rRNA". It matches the Rfam family "Bacterial small subunit ribosomal RNA", at positions 32 to 536 of the family's 1533-position model. The record is from RNAcentral.
AAUCAACGCUGGCGGCGUGCCUCAGACAUGCAAGUCGAACGAUUAAAGCUCUCUUCGGAGAGUGCAUAGAGUGGCGCACGGGUGAGUAACACGUAAGUAAUCUACCUUCGAGUGGGGAAUAACGUCCGGAAACGGGCGCUAAUACCGCAUAAUGCAGCGGCAUCGCAAGAUGACAGUUGUUAAAGGAGCAAUCCGCUUGAAGAGGAGCUUGCGGCAGAUUAGCUAGUUGGUAGGGUAAUGGCCUACCAAGGCUACGAUCUGUAACCGGUCUUAGAGGACGGUCGGUCACACUGACACUGAAUAACGGGUCAGACUCCUACGGGAGGCAGCAGUCGGGAAUUUUGGGCAAUGGGGGAAACCCUGACCCAGCAACGCCGCGUGAAGGAUGAAGUAUUUCGGUAUGUAAACUUCGAAAGAAUAGGAAGAAUUAAUGACGGUACUAUUUAUAAGGUCCGGCUAACUACGUGCCAGCAGCCGACGGUAAAGUCGAUAUCG